UUGUGUCAAAUUAACAUUUACUAUCACAAAUAUGGAAUAUGAAAGACAAAAUCCAGCGAACAAUACUGAAAUACCAGAAAAAAAGAAGCCAAAAAUCAAUAAAAGGACAUUGGAUAAAAUAGCCAGGGUUAAAGGUCAACCUUUUUUUUAAUAAUAAAGGAAUAGCCAAGCCUGCUAGAGUUACUGGGCCAGAUUACAGAUGUGCUCAUUUGAAAUGCUUUGAGAAGAUUACAGAAGAUAAAACAAAUACCACUUUAACCAAAUUUAAUAUGCUCGAAUCUAAAGAUGCCCAGAACAGUCAUCUUGCUGGAUUAAUAUCAUUUGGCCCCCCACGGCAAAGACGUAGUCGUAGAAGACAUCAAGAUAUGCCACAGGAUAAUGAAAAUCAUGAAGUGGAAGAUGCUGUGGAUGAGCCUUUACUACAAAAACAUAAACAUCUAGCUUCUUAUAAAUACAAAAUAAGAGAUAGAGUCAAUGAAGUGCUGGUGUGUGCCAAAGCAUUUUGUAGCAUAUAUGGAAUCUCAAAAGAAAGAUUGCGACGAAUAAGGUUAUGUCUUGUAAAAACAGGAAAAUCUCCAAAGGACAGACGGGGUCAUCAUGCAAAUACACCUCGAAAAACUGACAGAAGAGUGUACACUACUCUUCGUGAUCAUAUAAAAUCUUUUAAGUGUCGAUAGUCUCAUUAUUUUCGCAGAGGUAAUCCAAAUGUAUACUACUUACCAGAAACUUUAAGUUUCAAAAAAAUGUAUAAAAUGUU
Anthonomus grandis grandis is the source of this 757-nucleotide long non-coding RNA. RefSeq lists it as uncharacterized. The record is from RefSeq and is a predicted model, not a curated record. Lineage: Eukaryota; Metazoa; Arthropoda; Insecta; Coleoptera; Curculionidae. The transcript has 3 exons.